AAGCGGCGGACGGGUGAGUAACGCGUGGGUAACCUGCCCUGUACACACGGAUAACAUACCGAAAGGUAUGCUAAUACGAGAUAAAAUACUUUUAUCGCAUGGUAGAAGUAUCAAAGCUUUUGCAGUACAGGAUGGACCCGCGUCUGAUUAGCUAGUUGGUAAGGUAACGGCUUACCAAGGCGACGAUCAGUAGCCGACCUGAGAGGGUGAUCGGCCACAUUGGAACUGAGACACGGUCCAAACUCCUACGGGAGGCAGCAG
Molecule: ribosomal RNA, 261 nt
Filed under: uncultured bacterium
Lineage: Bacteria
Description: partial 16S ribosomal RNA
Rfam family: Bacterial small subunit ribosomal RNA
Source: RNAcentral